UAAUUGGCUAGUGGCAGCCAAGUGUUCAUAGUGACAUCGCUUUUUGAUCCUUUGAUGUCAGCUCUUCCUAUCAUUGUGAAGGAGAAUUCACCAAGCAUUGGGUUGUACAGCCACUAACAGGGAAUAUAAACUGGGUUAGACCAUCAUGAGACAGGUU
RNAcentral lists this non-coding RNA (157 nucleotides) under Acanthisitta chloris (rifleman). Its description in RNAcentral is "Eukaryotic large subunit ribosomal RNA". It matches the Rfam family "Eukaryotic large subunit ribosomal RNA", at positions 2827 to 2984 of the family's 3401-position model. Lineage: Eukaryota; Metazoa; Chordata; Aves; Passeriformes; Acanthisittidae. The record is from Rfam by way of RNAcentral.